AACUUCCCUGACUCGGUUGGCAGGUAUCCGGUGCCGGCAUCCAAUUCCCCUUCGGACAUCCGCUUCGCUGCCAUUGCUGCUGCAGAACUCAUGAAGCCUGAAGCCAACAACAACAACAACGUUAAUGCAUCAACAACAAAUAAUGCAGCAGUUCAAUCUGAUAGCAAUGAUGUUUUACCUUCGUUUGAAACUGAGUUUAUGGACGAGGAAGCCAUAUUCUCCAUGCCAAGUUUGCUGGUUGACAUGGCUGGGGGAAUGUUGCUAUCUCCUCCCAGAAUGAGCCCUCCCUCCGAUAACGAAAGUAAUUAUGUUGGAGAAACUUUGUGGAACUUUUGAUCCCUCUAUAUAAACCAAUUGAAGUAAUUAAACUAAUAUAUUGGAAUUAAUGGGAAAAUGUGGUUAAUUAUAGGUAUCGAAGUGAGAACUUGGAUAGUUAAUAUGUAAAUUAAUUAAACUGAGAACUAAGGGUAAAACUAUAACUCAAAUUAAAAAAACUUAGGGUAAAACUUACGGCUACUUUGUUCUAAGACCAUGUGUCUGUGAGUGUUUUAGUAGUUCUACUAUAUGUCUAUAUGUAUGUAUUUCGAUGCUUGUGACUUGUGAGAAUGCGUACCUGUUGAUCUGGGUGCUUUGUAUGAGAAGUUUCUUUAUGUUUUAUGUGAGACAUUUGAAUCAAACUUUUGCUUUUCUUUU
RNAcentral lists this long non-coding RNA (693 nucleotides) under Glycine max (soybean). RNAcentral describes it as "long non-coding RNA (GMAX_LNC003881)". Lineage: Eukaryota; Viridiplantae; Streptophyta; Magnoliopsida; Fabales; Fabaceae. The record is from RNAcentral.